GCUGGGAUUCCCGAGUGGUCAAAGGGGCAGGACUUAAGAUCCUGUGACUUAGUGUCUUCGCCGGUUCGAAUCCGGUUCCCAGCA
RNAcentral lists this transfer RNA (84 nucleotides) under Candidatus Woesearchaeota archaeon. RNAcentral describes it as "tRNA-Leu". It matches the Rfam family "tRNA". Rfam says of the family: Transfer RNA (tRNA) molecules are approximately 80 nucleotides in length. The record is from RNAcentral. Lineage: Archaea; Nanobdellati; Candidatus Woesearchaeota.